This is a small nucleolar RNA of Frankliniella occidentalis (western flower thrips), 73 nucleotides long. RefSeq annotates it as small nucleolar RNA SNORD24. NCBI's taxonomy places the organism in Eukaryota, Metazoa, Arthropoda, Insecta, Thysanoptera, Thripidae. The record is from RefSeq and is a predicted model, not a curated record. The transcript has a single exon.
UGAAAGUGAUGAUAUUGUAUUUGCUACUCAGAAUGGUUGUGCUGACCAUCUUUUACCACCAAGAUCUCUGACG